Molecule: long non-coding RNA, 1560 nt
Filed under: Pan troglodytes (chimpanzee)
Lineage: Eukaryota; Metazoa; Chordata; Mammalia; Primates; Hominidae
Description: long non-coding RNA NONPTRT006277
Source: RNAcentral
GGGUACAGUUGUGAGGAUAACAGAAAUAUGGCAGAUUAUUUAAAAUCAUCCUGAAAGUGGUGCUUUAUCUGAUGAAAGUGAUUGUAAUCCAUAGGAAAAUGUUUCAACGUGCGCAAGAGUUGCGGCGGCGGGCAGAGGACUACCACAAAUGCAAAAUCCCUCCUUCUGCAAGAAAGCCUCUUUGCAACUGGGUCAGAAUGGCGGCAGCGGAGCAUCGUCAUUCUUCAGGAUUGCCCCACUGGCCCUACCUCACAGCUGAAACUUUAAGAAACAGGAUGGGCCACCAGCCACCUCCUCCAACUCAACAACGUUCUAUAACUGAAAACUCCCUGAGCCUCAAGACACCUCCCGAGUGUCCGCUCCAUCCCCUUCCACCCUCAGCGGAUGGUAAUCUCAAGACGCCUCCCGAGUGUCUCAUCACUCUUCUUCCACCCUCAGCUCCACCCUCAGCUCCACCCUCAGCGGAUGAUAAUAUCAACAGGCCUGCCGAGUGUCUGCUCUAUCCCCCUCCACCCUCAGCGGAUGAUAAUAUCAACAGGCCUGCCGAGUGUCUGCUCUAUCCCCCUCCACCCUCAGCGGAUGAUAAUCUCAAGACACCUCCCGAAUGCCUGAUUACUCCCCUUCCACCCUCACCUCCACCCUCAGCUCCACCCUCAGCUCCACCCUCACCUCCACCCUCACCUCCACCCUCAGCUCCACCCUCACCUCCACCCUCAGCUCCACCCUCACCUCCACCCUCAGCUCCACCCUCAGCGGAUGAUAAUAUCAACAGGCCUGCCGAGUGUCUGCUCUAUCCCCCUCCACCCUCAGCGGAUGAUAAUCUCAAGACACCUCCCGAGUGCCUGAUUACUCCCCUUCCACCCUCACCUCCACCCUCAGCUCCACCCUCACCUCCACCCUCACCUCCACCCUCAGCUCCACCCUCACCUCCACCCUCACCUCCACCCUCAGCUCCACCCUCACCUCCACCCUCACCUCCACCCUCACCUCCACCCUCAGCUCCACCCUCACCUCCACCCUCACCCCCACCCUCAGCGGAUGAUAAUCUCAAGACACCUCCCUUAGCUACUCAGGAGGCUGAGGCAGAAAAACCACCCAAACCCAGGAGGCCGAGGGCCGAUGACGUGGACCCAUCAUCGCCCGAACCCAAGAGGCGGAGGGCCGAUGACGUGGACCCAUCAUCAUCCACACCCAAGAGGCGGAGGGCCGAUGACGUGGACCCAUCAUCAUCCACACCCAAGAGGCGGAGGGCCGAUGACGUGGACCCAUCAUCAUCCACACCCAAGAGGCGGAGGGCCGAUGACGUGGACCCAUCAUCACGCAAACCCAAGAGGCGGAGGGCCGAUGACGUGGACCCAUCAUCAUCCAAACCCAAGAGGCGGAGGGCCGAUGACGUGGAACCGUCAUCACGCAAACCCAAGAGGCGGAGGUUGAGUUAGCUGAGAACAGGCCAUUGCACUCAAGCCUGAGCAAUAAGAAUAAAAUUGAGUAUAACAAAAUAAAAAAAUCAAAAAACAAAACAAAACCCACACUCCAAAAACAAACUAACAAAGAAUAAAU